Molecule: long non-coding RNA, 5167 nt
Organism: Ficedula albicollis (Collared flycatcher)
Lineage: Eukaryota; Metazoa; Chordata; Aves; Passeriformes; Muscicapidae
Source: Ensembl
GAUCAGAAAGUAACUCUGCUAUUAAAACUCUUCACAAUUGAUGCAAAAAAUAACUACCAGGAAAUACAUCCAGUUUGAUAACAGGUGUUUAUGAGGGAGCACCAGCACAGAGGACUCUUUGCAUAAAACAAAUUUAUUAUUGGUUAAACAUGUAUCCAUGAAUUCUUCUUCUGUAAUUGCAUUUAUACAUUGCUGGAUGUCUGUGGACUGUGCCAUCCUUGGAUUUUUCAGACUAGAAAGGAGGCAUCAGUAUUGACAGUCAAUUACUGUGAAUUACUGUGUAGGUCACAUAGCCCAGCAAAAAUAUAUUAAGUAACAGUUGACAUGACUUAAUAUGUGCUUUUUUUUUGAGUGGAUCAGAACCUUGAAAAUGGGUAUUAGAGUCCAGAGAUUGACAAUUCACAUAAAUUUAAACCUGAGGGGUGCAUUCAGCCCUAUUCUGAGGUGUUUUAGCUGAGGAUGAUUCUGUCGGUGCAGAGAUCUGGGAGGCUCUGCCCAGCUUUCAUCUUCCCUGUGCUAACUCAGCUACUGCAGUGCCCAGGAAACACCCAAGGGACAGUCACAGGGCUCUGCUUGUCAUUUUUGUUGCCAUUUAGAAGCUGCUUCCCACUGUGGUGGAAGAAGAUCCCAGGAAAUCGUCUCUCCUUUCCUUCUUUGUCGGGAAAGGUAUUCCCCCAAAGCUGCAGGUGGAACAAGCUGCAGCAUUGAAUGAGAGCUUCUGCAUUUGGGAAGAAUUAGAAAGGCUGGUAAUGCAGGGUCUCUAUUACAGAUACAACAGCUCACAGACAGGGAGGAGAUUUUUGCUGCCGGUGUAGAAUUUGGAGUGCUAGGCAUUUUAUAGCCUGGAAAAAUUGUAAUUUUCAGCUGUUGUUAUGGAGUAAUCAAUGAAGAAGAGAUGCCACAGUUUCUGCGGGGUUUUUCUCAAAGCCUGAUGUCAUUGCAUGCAGGAACUAUUAUUUUUCUUAAUGUGCCACUUUGAGGCUGAAGCACACGCAGUUUUUAUUAAAACUUUUUUUUUUUUAUGAUGACUGAUGCUCACUGGUAGUUUUAGACCUUCUGAAAUAUCUUUGCUUCUGUAGUGAUAGCUCUGUAUCAGAUAAAAAUGUUCAGAAGAAAUUGUUCCUUGCUAGACCAUCGAAAUACUAUUAUUUUUUAAUUAUUUUAUCUAAUCAGUGCUUAGCUUGGGAGUACAUGUUGAUAAUUUUUUGUCCUUGUCAAAUAGUCUGUGACUUCACUCAAGGAUGAGAGUGGCCAUUCUGGUAAAUGUAAUAAAGGACAGUGUCCCCAAAGAGACCACAGUUUGCAGAGCAGAGCAUCAGGAAAAGCUGCUGCAGCAAAUGUCCCACAGCUGAAAUGUUCCACUCUAAUGUCACAACAUGUCCCCUGAGCAGCCCAGUGGCAGCAAAUGCAGCCCUGGAAAGAGUAACUCAGCCAAACUGACCCACUCAGUCCAGUGUGAAAUGGGAAAGUCUGACUUCUCAUUAAUGUGAUGUGUUACAAUUAAACCACAAAAUGAGGAGAACUGGGUAAGACUGGCUUAGUCAGGAGAAUAAAGAUGACAUGCAUUUCAGUUUGAGAAGUGCAGGUUCAUUGCAGCUUCCAGAGAAAGUCAGUUGAGUGGAGACAGUUUUGUGGGCUCUCCUUAAUUUUAGUUGCAGGAGACAUUCUCUUUCCCACAGAAAGUCACUGCCUUUGGAACCUGCUCCCUCUGGUAGAGCACCAAAGCUGAAUUUGACAAGGUGCAGCAGCCAGUGCACAACUCAUCUCUUCAAUUCAGCCUUUCCAAGUGCAAGGACAGAUCAGCACCUGUGUGGCUGGAGAUGGAAAACCCUGCCUUGUGACAUUUAUAUGCCAAGAUGGGAGGACCUAAAAAGAGGACUAGGGAGACUAGCAUGGCAUUUGCGGGUACCAGGUUGCCAAGGAGGCAUAUUGUAUUGAAACAGUUGCCUGGGAAACAUUUAAAAAUACAUUGAAUGGAAAAGCAUAUGUGAUGUGCCCACAAGUGUUCUGUGUGAAUGAAAUGCCAUGGCUGAUGAUGGCACCAAGAGACUGUUACUAUUACAUGUAAAAAUGCUGCAAGUGAUGUGUGGUUUUUUCCCUUUUGUGGUGUUUUCUUCCCCUGUUUGCAGGAGGUGCACCGAGGGAAGGUUGUUUUGCUCUUGGCUGAUGGAUUAAAGUGAAUGUGGGGAAGGUGGAACACACAGGCAGCAGCAGCAGCUGGGGAUGGCAGCAGCAAUUUGGCUUCAUUUAGGCAACCUAAACCAAUUGACAAGGAGCCUGCACAGUUCCCCCUCAAAAGUAAUAACAGCACUGCUGAAACUCCUACAGUAUAAAGAUAAAUGGUUCUCUGAGCACUGCCACUUUAAUUGGUGCUAAAAUGGGCAUUGGGAAGCUCUGAUGUCAUUGCAGUGGGACUUCCAUGUAAACGUCAUGGAAAAUGCAGGGGUUUUGAGCAAAGGUUGGACAACAUAUUAUGAAGAAGUCUCUCACUGACCUUAUUUUUUGUUUAGGGCACUGAAAUAGAGGGAGGUGAUGGGAGAAAGUUUCAGGAGACAGUUAACUGCUCUAGUCCUUCCUCAGAUCAAUUACUGAGAGAUGGUGCUGACAAAAAAGAAUGAUAUAACCAAAACCAAAACAAACAAUCAUAUCCACUCUUUGUCUCACAGAAAAAACCUUUAUUUUCCCAUGUGGCAAAGAAACAGGAGAGCUGGGAACUGUAAUCUUUGAUAUCCUAUCUUGGACAAAGAGGUUCAUCUGCUACCAACUCCCAGAUGCUAAAAUGCAUUUCUCCUUCACUAAGAGUGAGUGGUAGGUGUGAGGCUGGUUAGGUUUAUGGUCACCCUGCCUAAUCCUCCUUUGGAGAUUUAGAAACAAAUAUCCUACUCUUGAUUUGCUAGAGGCUUAAGAAGCCUGUUUGGGAGCCAGCAGAUUUAGCUUGGUCCAGGCUGUAUGUGGUACAGUAAAUUUUUUGGAUGAGAGAUGCAGUGGAGAGGAGUUCAGCUGAGUAAGAAGGAAAGUCUGGAGGCCUUUUUGUUGGUGGUAGCUCUGCAAAGAGUUGCCUUCCAGGGGAGGGCACCAGGGCCUUGGCUGCUGGAAGAUGUUGCCUGUUUGGGGCUGGGAGGUUGCUGCCUGUCUGGUGAGUUCAGUUCCCCAGGGAGGAGGAGACUCUGCUGACUUUGCUGUCGGUUUGGCCAGUGAGGAGAUGCUUUUUGGCAUUCUGGUUAUCUCCUCAUUUCAGCACAAAUCUGCUCAGGGCUCUGAGGUGCUGCAAUGAUCACGUUGGAAAACCAUGAAUCAGAUGAAGUCUUCUUGGUGUCAGUCAAGUCCCAGUAUCACUCAUCAUUUUUCUGGCCCAGUGUGUGUUUGGUUAAAUCAAGUCCUGCUGUUUUUAGGCCCUGGGGUUAGUGUAAGAGAGGAGGAGAAUCUGCCUUUCAUCCUCUCAGAAUUUUGCAAUGUGACUGAAAACUUGGAGAGAAUGUGUCAGAUCUCAAACAAAGAUUAGAUUUGAUGGCACAGAGCCGUGGGUUCUGUGGCCCAGCCCAGAAUUCUGCUGAGGGAGUUGUAUCAUCUCCCCAUACUUUAAAGGAUUUAGACUCUGAGUUUAGGAUGAAAUAUGGCUCGAGGUUUUCAUAUUUAUUUCUUGCUUGCUUUCUUGUUUUUUGGGUUGAGUUUUUUUUGGUUUUUACUUAAUUCUAAGUGUAUCUCAUGAAUUUUAGCCAAUAGUUAUCUGAAUUCUUCUUCUUUGCUGCGUAGCAUUCCUUCAUUUGAAAUCAACAUAUUAAGGAGCUCCACAAAAAAAAAAAAAAAUCCAUAAAUCACUUGUUUAUGGGCAGGAAACCACAAAACAGUGGGACAAAAUUACCCUACUAGUUAAUGUGGUGUGAUUUUAUCCAUAAUUACAAUGGUGUAGAAAAUCAACAUAAAAUAGAAUGUAAUUCAACAGAUGAGUAUGUAUUUAUUGCUUCAACCAACGUGGGUAAUAGGUUUAGUUAGUUUUGCAAUUUUUUUAAAGGCGUGACUAGUGUUUUAGAAAGAAAAUAAGGUAAGUCUGAAUAAUCAAAGCUAUGGAGGAAAAUAAAUAUCUUUGCACUGAGGAGGGUGUAUUUUCAUAUUCAUCCUCCCUUUGUCAUUAAUGCUUUGAUAAAAGAAAUAUAAAAUGGCAUUAAUUUAGAAUCCUGACAGCAAAAUACAGAAGAACUCUAGUUUAUUUUUUUUCCAGGUGUCAUUUAUUUAAUUGUAUCAGACGUGGGCUGAGUUUGGUUUAUUUACAUUGACUUAAUACCCGGUGAACUGAAACUCCCCUGAGGCGCUGUCAGUGUGAGACGUCGCUGUGCCUGACAGUCCCUUGUUGUGACCACACCCAGUCCGAGGUGCUGGGCAGGGCUGUGCCUGCCCCUGCUGUCACUGACCCCCAGCAGCUGUCACUCAAACCCACUCUGUCCACGACGCCUUCCUGCCACAUCCCAGAACUGCUGUUAACAAAGAGGAGCUUCAUGCUACUGUUCCUGUCAUGAGUGAGUUUAGAAUUGGGCUGAUUUUGGUGGAUUUUCCCCAACAGAAUCUCCCCUGCUCUCCAAAUCCAUUUUGCUGUUCCCUCUAUCCAAUUGUCCUGCUCUCAUAGAAAUUUUUGGUUGUUCCCUUUUGAUCAGUGGGAAGUCCUCUGAGGGAGAUGUGUGGUAGCUAAACCAAGAUGUUGUGGUGCUGGCUGAGGACAGAAAACAUGUUCAGUUAGCUGCAGUGCUUGCUCUGGUUUGUACCACAGUCUGGUUCCAUCAUUAGCCUGUUUUUAUGAGUCUGUCCUCCCAUACUGGAAUCAGAUGUUUUAUCAGAGCACUCUGAGGAAAAGCAGCAGCCUCACAGCUCUCCGUGACUGUGCUGUACCCUGCAGAAAAUGAGUUGUUUAACUUAAAGCCACAUCCCACCAGGCAAGAAGCAACAUCACAAAGAGCUGCAAAAAUAUUGGCACCAUCAAACCUCAGUAUCAAAGGAAGAGAUGAAUCCGGGUCCUUCCAAGAAGCUGUUUGGGCCUAAUUGGGCUGGCUGGGCAUGAGGAGAUGCAAUCUAUGACCAGUGCAGCUUUGUAGGCAGAAAUGUCAGAUAUAGAUGCAUUUAAGUGAGAGCUGCCUCCUAUUCCCUCUCCAGGCAAAUGAGAUUUGGAGGAGCCUGC